GGUUAACGCUGGCGGCGUGCCUAACACAUGCAAGUCGAACGGUUCUAAGCGCGAGCUUAGGAUAGUGGCGAACGGGUGAGUAAAAGGUAGGAAUCUACCCCUUGGACGGAGAUAGCUACUGGAAACGGUAGGUAAACUUCGAUAAGCCCGAGAGGGGAAAGUGGUGAGACAGCCGAGGGAUGAGCCUACUCUCCAUCAGGUAGUUGGUGAGAUAAAAGCUUACCAAGCCGAUGACGGAUAACCGGUGUGAGAGCAUGAACGGUCACAAGGGCACUGAGAGACGGGCCCUACUCCUACGGGAGGCAGCAGUGGGGAAUCUUGGACAAUGGGCGAAAGCCUGAUCCAGCGACGCCGCGUGGAGGAAGAAGGCCUUCGGGCUGUAAACUUCUUUGAUUGGGGACGAAGGAAGUGACGGUACCCAAAAACAAGCCACGGCUAACUACGUG
RNAcentral lists this ribosomal RNA (446 nucleotides) under uncultured bacterium. RNAcentral describes it as "bacterial SSU rRNA". It matches the Rfam family "Bacterial small subunit ribosomal RNA", at positions 28 to 507 of the family's 1533-position model. The record is from RNAcentral.